UACAGAGGUCUCAAGCGUUGUUCGGAAUCACUGGGCGUAAAGGGCGCGUAGGCGGCCCGCACAAGUCUGCGGUGAAAACCCCCGGCUUAACCGGGGGCCGGCCGUGGAAACUGUCGGGCUGGAGGCUGGGAGAGGGCAGCGGAAUUCCCGGUGUAGCGGUGAAAUGCGUAGAGAUCGGGAGGAACACCGGCGGCGAAGGCGGCUGCCUGGACCAGUCCUGACGCUGAGGCGCGAAAGCUAGGGGAGCAAACAGG
RNAcentral lists this ribosomal RNA (254 nucleotides) under uncultured bacterium. Its description in RNAcentral is "partial 16S ribosomal RNA". It matches the Rfam family "Bacterial small subunit ribosomal RNA", at positions 524 to 776 of the family's 1533-position model. The record is from RNAcentral.